GACGAACGCUGGCGGCGUGCUUAACACAUGCAAGUCGAACGGAAAGGCCCUGCUUUUGUGCGGUGCUCGAGUGGCGAACGGGGGAGUAACACGUGAGUAACCUGCCCUUGACUUUGGGAUAACUUUAGGAAACUGGGGCUAAUACCGGAUAGGAGCUCCUGCUGCAUGGUGGGGGUUGGAAAGUUUCGGCGGUUGGGGAUGUACUAGCGGCUUAUCAGCUUGUUGGUGGGGUAGGUGCUUACCAAGGCUUUGACGGGUAGCCGGCCUGAGAGGGUGACCGGCCACAUUGGGACUGAGGUACGGCCCAGAAGCCUACGGUAGGCAGCAGUGGGGAAUAUUGCACAAUGAGCGCAAGCCUGAUGCAGAAGCGCCGCGUUCGGGAUGACGGCCUUCGGGUUGAAAACAGCUUUCGAAUGUGACGAAGCGUGAGUGACGGUACUGGGUAAAGAAGCACCGGCUAACUACGUG
This 468-nucleotide ribosomal RNA is filed under the name uncultured bacterium. Its description in RNAcentral is "partial 16S ribosomal RNA". It matches the Rfam family "Bacterial small subunit ribosomal RNA", at positions 28 to 507 of the family's 1533-position model. The record is from RNAcentral.